This 497-nucleotide ribosomal RNA is filed under the name uncultured bacterium. RNAcentral describes it as "partial 16S ribosomal RNA". It matches the Rfam family "Bacterial small subunit ribosomal RNA", at positions 28 to 507 of the family's 1533-position model. The record is from RNAcentral.
GAUGAACGCUGGCGGCGUGCCUAAUACAUGCAAGUCGAGCGAACGGACGAGAAGCUUGCUUCUCUGAUGUUAGCGGCGGACGGGUGAGUAACACGUGGAUAACCUACCUAUAAGACUGGGAUAACUUCGGGAAACCGUAGCUAAUACCGGAUAAUAUUUUGAACCGCAUGGUUCAAAAGUGAAAGACGGUCUUGCUGUCACUUAUAGAUGGAUCCGCGCUGCAUUAGCUAGUUGGUAAGGUAACGGCUUACCAAGGCAACGAUGCAUAGCCGACCUGAGAGGGUGAUCGGCCACACUGGAGCUGAGACACGGUCCAGACUCCUACGGGAGGCAGCAGUAGGGAAUCUUCCGCAAUGGGCGAAAGCCUGACGGAGCAACGCCGCGUGAGUGAUGAAGGUCUUCGGAUCGUAAAACUCUGUUAUUAGGGAAGAACACAUGUGUAAGUAACUGUGCACAUCUUGACGGUACCGAAUCAGAAAGCCACGGCUAACUACGUG